UACAGAGGGUGCAAGCGUUGUUCGGAAUUAUUGGGCGUAAAGCGCGUGUAGGCGGCAUUGCAAGUCGGGUGUGAAAGCCCUCAGCUCAACUGAGGAAGUGCGCCCGAAACUGCAGUGCUUGAGUACCGGAGAGGAUGGCGGAAUUCCCCAAGUAGAGGUGAAAUUCGUAGAUAUGGGGAGGAACACCGGUGGCGAAGGCGGCCAUCUGGACGGAUACUGACGCUGAGACGCGAAAGCGUGGGUAGCAAACAGG
RNAcentral lists this ribosomal RNA (253 nucleotides) under uncultured bacterium. RNAcentral's name for it is "partial 16S ribosomal RNA". It matches the Rfam family "Bacterial small subunit ribosomal RNA", at positions 524 to 776 of the family's 1533-position model. The record is from RNAcentral.